This 216-nucleotide long non-coding RNA is filed under the name Panax ginseng (ginseng). RNAcentral describes it as "long non-coding RNA (PGIN_LNC019148)". Lineage: Eukaryota; Viridiplantae; Streptophyta; Magnoliopsida; Apiales; Araliaceae. The record is from RNAcentral.
CAUGAUAAAAUUUGUUGAAUCAGUAAAGAGAAACAUCAGCCUCCUUUUUGCUUCUUCACUCCUCUCAUAAACUAUAGUCACGUACUCUCUCUCUAUGUGAAGAACCCUAGCAGUAAUUCUACAAUCUCUAGUCUCUAUAUACACACAUACAAAAUAUUUUCGGCGAGCUGGACUUUUCCAAUUUGCUACGAUAAGGAUUUUCCGGCUGACUUCAAG